UUAAGCAUAUCAAUAAGCGGAGGAAAAGAAACUAACAAGGAUUCCCCUAGUAACGGCGAGUGAAGCGGGAAGAGCUCAAAUUUGUAAUCUGGUACCUUCGGUGCCCGAGUUGUAAUCUCGAGAAGUGUUUUCCGCGCCAGACCGCAUACAAGUCUGUUGGAAUACAGCGUCAUAGUGGUGAGAACCCCGUACAUGAUGCGGAUGCCUGGUGCUCUGUGAUACACUUUCGAAGAGUCGAGUUGUUUGGGAAUGCAGCUCAAAUUGGGUGGUAAAUUCCAUCUAAAGCUAAAUAUUGGCGAGAGACCGAUAGCGAACAAGUACCGUGAGGGAAAGAUGAAAAGCACUUUGGAAAGAGAGUUAACAGUACGUGAAAUUGUUGGAAGGGAAACGCUUGAAGUCAGACUUGCUAUUUGGAGUUCAGCCGCAAGGUGUAUUCUUCGAUGUGCAGGCCAGCAUCAGUUUUCCGGGGUGGAAAAGGGUCUUGAGAAGGUAGCAGUUUCGGCUGUGUUAUAGCUCUUGACUGGAUUCAUCCUGGGGGACUGAGGAACGCAGUACGCUUUUAGCGAGGCCUUCGGGCUUUUCGUACUUAGGAUGCUGGUGGAAUGGCUUUAAACGACCCGUCUG
Molecule: ribosomal RNA, 624 nt
Filed under: Udeniozyma ferulica
Lineage: Eukaryota; Fungi; Basidiomycota; Microbotryomycetes; Colacogloeaceae
Description: LSU rRNA
Rfam family: Eukaryotic large subunit ribosomal RNA
Source: RNAcentral